GAAGAGCUCCUCCUAGAGACCCUUGCUGAGAGAAAGGUUUGGGCCUGGAAGCCAGAACCGGAAGGCUGAGUUUCAGCUCAGAUAAGUCAGGAAUUCAGGAUCAGGCCUUCAGUAUGGGAAGCGUGGAGAGCUGCCAGCAUAAGCAAGGUGCAUGAAUGGGAUUGUGGACAAAUGAAUUCAUCUGCACAACAAUGAAUACAGAGUUACGAACACUGACCGGUCAACCACACACCUCAUUUGGAACCGGAAGUACGCAAUCAGGCAGCAC
Molecule: long non-coding RNA, 268 nt
Organism: Mauremys mutica (yellowpond turtle)
Lineage: Eukaryota; Metazoa; Chordata; Testudines; Geoemydidae
Exons: 3
Source: RefSeq, a predicted model, not a curated record